GAAUUUUUCUCAAUGGGCGCAAGCCUGAAGGAGCGACGCCGCGUGGGGGAUGAAGGGUUUCGAUCCGUAAACCCCUGUCAUUUGUGAACAAUGGCCAUCGUUGAAUAUUCGGUGGCUUGAUAGUAACAGAAGAGGAAGGGACGGCUAACUCUGUGCCAGCAGCCGCGGUAAUACAGAGGUCCCAAGCGUUGUUCGGAUUCACUGGGCGUAAAGGGUGCGCAGGUGGCGCCCCAAGUUUGAUGUGAAAGCCCCGAGCUCAACUCGGGAAUGGCAUUGAAUACUGGGGUGCUGGAGGUUUGGAGGGGGGACUGGAAUUCUCGGUGUAGCAGUGAAAUGCGUAGAUAUCGAGAGGAACACCAGUGGCGAAGGCGAGUCCCUGGACAACACCUGACACUGAGGCACGAAAGCUAGGGGAGCAAACAGG
Molecule: ribosomal RNA, 424 nt
Filed under: uncultured bacterium
Lineage: Bacteria
Description: bacterial SSU rRNA
Rfam family: Bacterial small subunit ribosomal RNA
Source: RNAcentral